GUUCUAUAAUCGAUAAUUCACGGUAAUUUUCACUUUAAUUAAAAAUUUAUAUACCGCCAUCUAAAGAAUUAAUUUAAUUAUAUUAUUCUUAAUAAAAAAUAAAAAGUUAGGUCAAGGUGUAAUUUACAUUAAAGUUUUAAUGGGUUACCUUAAAAAAAAUUUAAGAAUUAAUAUAUAUAAACAUAUUAUGAAAAAGAAUUCAAAAGUAAUAUUAUAAUAAUAUUAUAUUAUGAAUUAGAUAAUAAAUGUGCACACAUCGCCCGUC
This 265-nucleotide ribosomal RNA is filed under the name Xerolycosa nemoralis. RNAcentral describes it as "12S Ribosomal RNA". Lineage: Eukaryota; Metazoa; Arthropoda; Arachnida; Araneae; Lycosidae. The record is from RNAcentral.